AGAGUUUGAUCAUGGCUCAGAACGAACGCUGGCAGCGUGGAUUAGGCAUGCAAGUCGAACGGGAUCACCCCGGUAGCAAUACUGGGGCGUGAGAGUGGCGGAAGGGCGAGUAAGGCAUGGGCAACCUGCCCCCUGACCGGGGAUAACCCGGCGAAAGCCGGGCUAAUACCGGAUGCGGCCCCGGGAGGCAUCUCCCGGGUGCUAAAGGCGGGGAUCCGCAAGGACCUGCCGUCAGGGGAGGGGCCCGUGUGCCAUCAGCUUGUUGGUGGGGUAACGGCUCACCAAGGCAUACGGCUAGCUGGUCUGAGAGGACGACCAGCCGCACUGGGACUGAGACACGGCCCAGACUCCUACGGGAGGCAGCAGUGAGGAAUAUUGGACAAUGGAUGGAAAUCUGAUCCAGCCAUGCCGCGUGCAGGAAGACGGCCUUAUGGGUUGUAAACUGCUUUUAUACGGGAGCAAUAAGGGUUACGAGUAAUCCGAUGAGAGUACUGUAUGAAUAAGGAUCGGCUAACUCCGUGCCAGCAGCCGCGGUAAUACGGAGGAUCCGAGCGUUAUCCGGAAUUAUUGGGUUUAAAGGGUGCGUAGGCGGCCAUUUAAGUCAGCGGUGAAAUUUUGCAGCUUAACUGUAACAGUGCCGUUGAUACUGUUUGGCUAGGAUUUGGUUGCAGUGUGCGGAAUGUGUGGUGUAGCGGUGAAAUGCUUAGAUAUCACACAGAACACCGAUUGCGAAGGCAGCACACUAAGUCAUUAUUGACGCUGAGGCACGAAAGUGUGGGGAUCAAACAGGAUUAGAUACCCUGGUAGUCCACACUGUAAACGAUGAUAACUCGCUGUCGGCGAUACACAGUCGGUGGCCAAGCGAAAGCAUUAAGUUAUCCACCUGGGGAGUACGACCGCAAGGUUGAAACUCAAAUGAAUUGACGG
RNAcentral lists this ribosomal RNA (927 nucleotides) under uncultured bacterium. RNAcentral's name for it is "bacterial SSU rRNA". It matches the Rfam family "Bacterial small subunit ribosomal RNA", at positions 8 to 916 of the family's 1533-position model. The record is from RNAcentral.